GGUCCAGACACAGUGAGGAUUGACAGAUUGAGAGCUCUUUCUUGAUUCUGUGGGUGGUGGUGCAUGGCCGUUCUUAGUUGGUGGAGUGAUUUGUCUGCUUAAUUGCGAUAACGAACGAGACCUUAACCUGCUAAAUAGCCCGUACUGCUUUGGCAGUUCGCCGGCUUCUUAGAGGGACUAUCGGCUCAAGCCGAUGGAAGUUUGAGGCAAUAACAGGUCUGUGAUGCCCUUAGAUGUCCUGGGCCGCACGCGCGUUACACUGACAGAGCCAGCGAGUAUUUCCUUGGCCGGAAGGUCCGGGUAAUCUUGUUAAACUCUGUCGUGCUGGGGAUAGAGCAUUGCAAUUAUUGCUCUUCAACGAGGAAUCCCUAGUAAGCGCAAGUCAUCAGCUUGCGUUGAUUACGUCCCUGCCCUUUGUACACACCGCCCGUCGCUACUACCGAUUGAAUGGCUCAGUGAGGCCUUCGGACUGGCCCAGAGAGGUGGGCAACUACCACUCAGGGCCGGAAAGUUGUCCAAACUCGGUCAUUUAGAGGAAGUAAAAGUCGUAACAAGG
This 556-nucleotide ribosomal RNA is filed under the name Pseudallescheria africana. RNAcentral describes it as "SSU rRNA". It matches the Rfam family "Eukaryotic small subunit ribosomal RNA", at positions 1221 to 1799 of the family's 1831-position model. Lineage: Eukaryota; Fungi; Ascomycota; Sordariomycetes; Microascales; Microascaceae. The record is from RNAcentral.